CCUACGGGAGGCAGCAGUAGGGAAUUUUCGGCAAUGGGCGAAAGCCUGACCGAGCAACGCCGCGUGAGUGAUGAAGGCCUUCGGGUUGUAAAGCUCUGUUGUUAGGGAAGAAUGAUCAGGAUAGGAAAUGAUCUUGAAGUGACGGUACCUAACCAGAAAGCCACGGUUAACUACGUGCCAGCAGCCGCGGUAAUACGUAGGUGGCAAGCGUUAUCCGGAAUUAUUGGGCGUAAAGGGUGCGUAGGCGGUUUACUAAGUCUUAUGUGAAAUCUCAGAGCUUAACUCUGGGCUGCAUAAGAAACUAUUAGACUAGAGUGCAGGAGAGGGCAACGGAAUUCCAUGUGUAGCGGUAAAAUGCGUAGAUAUAUGGAGGAACACCGGUGGCGAAGGCGGUUGCCUGGCCUGUUACUGACGCUGAAGCACGAAAGCGUGGGGAGCAAAUAGGAUUAGAUACCCUAGUAGUCCACGCUGUAAACGAUGAAUACUAAGUGUUGGGAUAAAACUCAGUGCUGCAGUUAACGCAAUAAGUAUUCCGCCUGGGGAGUACGCACGCAAGUGUGAAACUCAAAGGAAUUGACGGGACCCCGCACAAGCGGUGGAUUAUGUUGUUUAAUUCGACGCAACGCGAAGAACCUUACCAGGCCUUGACAUACCCAGCAAAGCACUAGAGAUAGUGUGGAGGUUAUCUGGGAUACAGGUGGUGCAUGGUUGUCGUCAGCUCGUGUCGUGAGAUGUUGGGUUAAGUCCCGCAACGAGCGCAACCCUUGUCUUUAGUUACCAUCAUUCAGUUGGGGACUCUAGAGAGACUGCCGGUGAUAAACCGGAGGAAGGUGGGGAUGACGUCAAAUCAUCAUGCCCCUUAUGGCCUGGGCUACAAACGUAAUACAAUGGCGUAUACAAAGGGAUGCGAAGUGGUGACAUGGAGCUAAACUCACAAAGUACGUCUCAGUUCGGAUUGAAGUCUGCAACUCGACUUCAUGAAGCUGGAAUCGCUAGUAAUCGCGGAUCAGCAUGCCGCGGUGAAUACGUUCUCGGGCCUUGUACACACCGCC
RNAcentral lists this ribosomal RNA (1052 nucleotides) under uncultured Mollicutes bacterium. Its description in RNAcentral is "bacterial SSU rRNA". It matches the Rfam family "Bacterial small subunit ribosomal RNA", at positions 338 to 1394 of the family's 1533-position model. Lineage: Bacteria; Bacillati; Mycoplasmatota; Mollicutes. The record is from RNAcentral.